CAGCCGCCGCGGUAAAACCAGCACCUCAAGUGGUCAGGAUGAUUAUUGGGCCUAAAGCAUCCGUAGCCGGCUCUGUAAGUUUCCGGUUAAAUCUGUACGCUCAACGUACAGGCUGCCGGGAAUACUGCAGAGCUAGGGAGUGGGAGAGGUAGACGGUACUCGAUAGGAAGGGGUAAAAUCCUUUGAUCUAUUGAUGACCACCUGUGGCGAAGGCGGUCUACCAGAACACGUCCGACGGUGAGGGAUGAAAGCUGGGGGAGCAAACCGGAUUAGAUACCCGGGUAGUCCCAGCUGUAAACUAUGCAAACUCAGUGAUGCAUUGGCUUGUGGCCAAUGCAGUGCUGCAGGGAAGCCGUUAAGUUUGCCGCCUGGGAAGUACGUACGCAAGUAUGAAACUUAAAGGAAUUGGCGGGGGAGCAC
This 420-nucleotide ribosomal RNA is filed under the name uncultured Nitrososphaerota archaeon. Its description in RNAcentral is "bacterial SSU rRNA". It matches the Rfam family "Archaeal small subunit ribosomal RNA", at positions 459 to 879 of the family's 1478-position model. The record is from RNAcentral. Lineage: Archaea; Thermoproteati; Nitrososphaerota.